This 94-nucleotide transfer RNA is filed under the name Lentzea sp. NBRC 102530. Its description in RNAcentral is "tRNA-Gln". Lineage: Bacteria; Bacillati; Actinomycetota; Actinomycetes; Pseudonocardiales; Pseudonocardiaceae. The record is from RNAcentral.
GAACUGGCCGAGCGCCCGGACGCCGUCGGCCUUGGCCUGGCGCACGGCGGGGUUGAAGUAGACGCGGUCGCGUUCGGACUCCUGUGCCGCUUUG